AUUGAACGCUGGCGGCAGGCCUAACACAUGCAAGUCGAACGGUAACAGGAAGCAGCUUGCUGCUUUGCUGACGAGUGGCGGACGGGUGAGUAAUGUCUGGGAAACUGCCUGAUGGAGGGGGAUAACUACUGGAAACGGUAGCUAAUACCGCAUAACGUCGCAAGACCAAAGAGGGGGACCUUCGGGCCUCUUGCCAUCGGAUGUGCCCAGAUGGGAUUAGCUAGUAGGUGGGGUAAAGGCUCACCUAGGCGACGAUCCCUAGCUGGUCUGAGAGGAUGACCAGCCACACUGGAACUGAGACACGGUCCAGACUCCUACGGGAGGCAGCAGUGGGGAAUAUUGCACAAUGGGCGCAAGCCUGAUGCAGCCAUGCCGCGUGUAUGAAGAAGGCCUUCGGGUUGUAAAGUACUUUCAGCGGGGAGGAAGGGAGUAAAGUUAAUACCUUG
RNAcentral lists this ribosomal RNA (446 nucleotides) under Enterobacter hormaechei. Its description in RNAcentral is "bacterial SSU rRNA". It matches the Rfam family "Bacterial small subunit ribosomal RNA", at positions 30 to 471 of the family's 1533-position model. The record is from RNAcentral. Lineage: Bacteria; Pseudomonadati; Pseudomonadota; Gammaproteobacteria; Enterobacterales; Enterobacteriaceae.